RNAcentral lists this ribosomal RNA (253 nucleotides) under uncultured bacterium. Its description in RNAcentral is "partial 16S ribosomal RNA". It matches the Rfam family "Bacterial small subunit ribosomal RNA", at positions 524 to 776 of the family's 1533-position model. The record is from RNAcentral.
UACGGGGGGGGCAAGCGUUGUUCGGAAUUACUGGGCGUAAAGGGCUCGUAGGCGGCCAACUAAGUCGGAUGUGAAAUCCCCAGGCUUAACCUGGGAACUGCAUCCGAUACUGGAUGGCUUGAGUCCGGGAGAGGGAUGCAGAAUUCCAGGUGUAGCGGUGAAAUGCGUAGAUAUCUGGAGGAAUACCGGUGGCGAAGGCGGCAUCCUGGACCGGCAUUGACGCUGAUGAGCGAAAGCUAGGGGAGCAAACGGG